GGUUUAAGCCAAUCAGAGUGCUCUGAGUCAUUUUACACAGCGUUGGAAAAUUCAAAAGAACUGUUUUACUGGGGCCCCCACCCACCGCUCAGGGGUGGGGGCCAGGGGGGGAGGACAGUAGGUCCCCCCCUUAUUGUUUUAUUAGGGCCCCCACCCACCGCACCGGGGGGGACAGAAGACAGAAAACUUUGCAUGCAGAUGUCAUCCAUAUCAACUUUUGAUGCCAGUUUCUGCGCCUACCAUGGUGACCACGGGUAACGGGGAAUCAGAGUUCCAUUUCGUACAGGGACCCUGAGAAACGGCUACCACAUACAAGGAAGGCAGCAGGCGUGCAAAUGACCCACUCCCGACGUGGGAUGGUAGU
Molecule: non-coding RNA, 364 nt
Organism: Pelobates cultripes (western spadefoot toad)
Lineage: Eukaryota; Metazoa; Chordata; Amphibia; Anura; Pelobatidae
Source: the annotation of a GenBank genome assembly